UUCGGCGGCCAUGUCGAAGGGGAAACGCCCGGUUACAUUCCGAACCCGGAAGCUAAGCCCUUCAGAGCCGAUGGUACUGCCCUGGUGACGGGGUGGGAGAGUAGGACGCCGCCGGAC
This 117-nucleotide ribosomal RNA is filed under the name Actinomycetota bacterium. The record is from RNAcentral. Lineage: Bacteria; Bacillati; Actinomycetota.